AGCACCAGACGUCAUUAAGACGUUGUUUUUUGGGCUAAAUCAAGUCGGCCCGUCAUAGCCUUCAUUUAGCCCAAAAAUAGACGUUGAAAAUUGGGCUUUGUUUGGUCCGUCCGAUUUGGUCCAAAUUUAGCCCAAACAUAGACGUUGAAAAUUGGUCUUUGUUUGGUCCGUCUGAUUUGGUCAAAAUUUAGCCCGAAAAUAGACGUUGAAAACUGGUCUCUAUUUGGUCCGUUUGGUUUGGUCCAAAUUUAGCCCAAAAGACUUUGAAAAAUGUCGCCUCCUUUGUUUGGUCCGUCUGAGGGCAGCGCCAGAUCAUUUUUAACAGGUGCUGAAGGGGUGCUAUCAUUGACAGGGGAGCUUCACAAUUAUAUAAAAAGGCUACUUUUAAUAAAUGAGCAAAACUUAGCCACUCAAUAUAUCAUAUUCAAUUAUUGUAAUUAUCACAAUUCAGGUUUUAAUUUAAAUUAAAAUAAGCACAACAUUCAACAUUCAAUCAAAUAUUCUUAUGUAGCCUAUUAAUAAUAAUGUAAUUUCCACACAAUAUCUUGUUAUUUCGACAUAAUAUGUGUGCGUGCAACAAGCAAGAUGUGCAUUUGUAAAUCCGGUGACACGCGUGCAUUGAUUUUUAUUGCAUUUUAUUUUUAUUAAUAAACUGUUUUCUGUGUCCGCUGCAAAAGAUGAAGUUGAAGAUCUCCAUCUCCGCAGCGAACGCGCCUUGAGAGAGAAAUGCACAAAAUGAUUACAUAAUCAGAGAGUACCUAUUUCUUUUCGUUUUGAAUUGUUUUGUUUAAAGAUAUUUCCAGCUCUCUAUAGAUAUGUCUCAUGUCUUUGAGACAUGCUGAGUUGUGGUAAGUUGAAAGGUAUUUUUUGUGCAUAGUAAAACAUAUCUGCAACAUUUAUCAAGUUCACGGAUAAUUGUGCGUGCAUUUAUUAAUCGUUAUGAUAGGCCUAAAAUCAUAAUAAAGGCUGUGUACAAAAAAUCAGAUGAGCCCAGAAUAUGAAUGCAACGCGUUUAAUUAGCCUACACAUUAAGCAUUUUCCUCCAAACCAGAACGCUUGGCCUGCGGACUUGAAUGUAUUUAAAAAAUACAUAGAAUAGUUUAUAAUUGUUCCUCAUGUUUCAUCUGUAAUCUGUGUAGGCUAUAUGAGGAAAUAUGUGCAUGCCUUAUGUAGGUUUUAAUCAAUGUUUUUGCAAAAAAAAAAAAAAAAAAAAAAAACAAUCUACAGCACGUUUACCAUUUUUUAAAGCUAUAUUAUAUUAUUAGACUAUUAGCCUACAUGACUUAAAACAUUGUUUUAUAGUUUGACGAUGGCCACAGGCCUACUAUCCACUUAAUAAUGCAUCAAGUUUCAGCUGAUUGUCAAAUAAUUCACUCCAUCUCAAUGCUGCGUAACUCUGCGUGUUUUAAUCAAUGGGCGCACGCGCUGAACAUUCGAGCCGCAUUUGAACUGGAGCAGACAACGUUACCAUGGAAACCGGGCGGUAGCUCAACUGACAACGAUCAGCACAGCUCCACCUCUCGCUGUUGUUUUCACUACUUUCAGGUAAGUUUAGUCCCUAAAAUUACACAAAUAGUACAUAAAAAUGUUUCCGACAAUUUCUUUUAUGUAAAAGACUCACUUCCGUUGAAUAUUUGCUUGGUUAGUGUCUUAGAAAAAGUCCGUUAGCAUCUCAACUGUUAGGCUAACUAUAGGUAAGUUAGGUUAACUAUAACGUUAGACUUGAGCAGUAAGUUUGGGCUUUUAAUCGUAUCUUACUGUAUGUGUAGAUUAGAUAUUUAUUUUGAUAGUUUUGUAAAGGUUUUGUUGGCAAUUGGUCAAUGGAUGAAUGGAAUUAAGCUAGCUAAUCGUCAAAACAGUGUUAUUAAUACAGUUUAUUGAUGACGUAUUCUUUGUACAGGUAAUGAACACACAGAACAAAUUAUUUAUAACGUAAUAAUAUUGGUGUCUUUCUCUUUUCAGUAUUGUUAGCUCCAACCCCAAUUAUUUAUAAUGUAACUUAAUAAUAUCAGUUGUCUUCUUUCUCUUUUCAGUAUUGUUAGCUCCAACCCCAAUUAAUCAGACCUGAGCAGCUGACUAAACAUCACCAGAAACUCUGCAGAACACUGGCCCUGGUCUGGUCUGGAUGCCACUGUUGCUAAAGCAUUUCAAGUAAAAACUUAAGUCGUGGCUUAAUAAUCCGGGGUUGGGAUGGUGGAAGGAGCAGAAGAACCAGAAGAUCGGAGAUCAGGAAGAUAUCUGUUGGUGCCUCUGAGGGAACUGAUUUAAUGUGUAGAAUUUAACCAAAAAUGUUCGUCACUCACCUUCAUGUCGUUGCAAACCUGUAAGACUUUCGUUCAUCUUUGAAAGAUAUUUUUAAUGAAAUCUGAGAGGUUUCUGUCCCUCAAUUUCACAGUUUAUGCAACUACCACUUUCAAGCUUCAGAAACGUAAGACAUUAUAAAAAUAAUCAAUAGAGGGUUUGCACCCACGUCACGAUUUGGCCAGUUACCCGGAUGCGCGGCUAUAUUCGAGAUACUCGGAUGUAAACAACAGCAUUGAUUGCACUGUUUAUGUACUACUGAACACAUUGUUACACUAAUUUAUGAUGU
This is a non-coding RNA of Pimephales promelas (fathead minnow), 2590 nucleotides long. The record is from RefSeq and is a predicted model, not a curated record. Lineage: Eukaryota; Metazoa; Chordata; Actinopteri; Cypriniformes; Leuciscidae.